UACGGGGGGAGCAAGCGUUGUUCGGAUUUACUGGGCGUAAAGGGCGCGUAGGCGGUCGUGACAAGUCACUUGUGAAAUCUCCGGGCUUAACUCGGAACGGUCAAGUGAUACUGUCGGACUAGAGUACAGAAGGGGCAACUGGAAUUCUCGGUGUAGCGGUGAAAUGCGUAGAUAUCGAGAGGAACACCUGCGGCGAAGGCGGGUUGCUGGGCUGAUACUGACGCUGAGGCGCGAAAGCCAGGGGGAGCGAACGGG
RNAcentral lists this ribosomal RNA (255 nucleotides) under uncultured bacterium. RNAcentral describes it as "partial 16S ribosomal RNA". It matches the Rfam family "Bacterial small subunit ribosomal RNA", at positions 524 to 776 of the family's 1533-position model. The record is from RNAcentral.